This 1880-nucleotide long non-coding RNA is filed under the name Arachis ipaensis. RNAcentral's name for it is "long non-coding RNA (AIPA_LNC000034)". Lineage: Eukaryota; Viridiplantae; Streptophyta; Magnoliopsida; Fabales; Fabaceae. The record is from RNAcentral.
ACCCAUGGCCAGAUACGGUGUGACAUUAGCACUUGCAAUAUUAAUAAUUGAGAUGGUUAUUAAUUCUACAAUUAGGGAACCUCAAGACAUUAUUGUUUUUGAACAACCUUGGAAUCAGCUAUAUUAUAUUGCAAAUAAGAUUUGGCUCACGAUGUGUAUUGAGGAUUGCAACAAACAAUUUAAAAGGGGCACGAGAAUGAAUGAACGUUGCGUGAAAGAGUGCUAUGGUAAAGCCUCUUAGUAAGUUAUGGUGAUUUUUUAUUAAUGAAAAAACGGUGGUUCCUUAUGGCUUAGCUUCUAGCAAUUCUAAUGUCAAAUAUAUUUAGAAGACAAUAAAAAUAAAAUUUAGAUCCUUUAAAUUUUAAAUUUUCACUUUAAAAAAUAAAAUGUAAUCUCUUACUCUUAAAUAAUUUUUUUUAUAUUUUUUUUAGUCUCAUCUAUGAAAUAAAUAGUGAAAGAUCAUAUUUUACCUUUUAAAGUAAAAUUCAAAAUUUAGAGGAUCCAAAUCCAUAAAAAUGCGUACAAAAUAGUUUUAAUUUUUUAUUUUGUAUUUAUUGAUUAUAUAUUAUUAAAAUGCAUUUGUCAAAACACUUAGAAGACAAUAAAAAUGAGUACAAAAUGCAUUUGUCAGCAUUCUUGUUGAUUUUGUCAAGUAACACCACAAUGGGUUGAUUAUUCUUUUUGUUUGGGUUUUAUUAAUGAAGAGUGACUUGGGCCUGUAACACUAGAUAAUUUAUCAAAACACUUUUGAACUAUUAAUCUAAUUAAAAUCAUGUUUAUCAUCACCAAAAAUAUUAUUAUUGUUUAUUAAACUCAACAGUAUGUUAGUGUCUAUUGAUACACUAAUAUAUAUAAUUUGUGGAGAGUAAAAUGAUGGUUACAAAACUAAUUAAAUCCUCUAUAUAUAUGGUAUUAAAUUGAAUAAUCAUGUUAAAUAUAUACUAAAAUUAAAAUAUAAAAUAUAUAUUUUUCCAUACUAACAUUAUAUUACACAUGGCAAAAGCCUAUCCAUGUUAUGUUGUCGAUGUUUUAAUAACUAAGCAAGGUAGAGGUUUGCACUCCCUCACGUCCAAUAUAUAAUAUUUAGCACUUUUUAAAAAUCAAUAUUUCAUACAAGUUUGUUAUACAAAUUAAAUAGCAUUAUUAUUGGACACUGGUAGUCUUUCAAGUUUCAACAUUCGUCGAAUUCAAAAGACAAUCAAACCUAACCAAAACAAUAAACGACUCUAAAUUAACACUUUCCUACUUCAAAGUUUUGUUAAUUGAUUAUAUUGAUAAUUAGUAGCUCUUAAUUAGUAUAUAUAUAUACAUGAACUAAACAUGCAAAAAACCUAGUCUACAAUAAAUAAGAGAAAGAGCCAUGACUAGAAAAGGUGUAGUAUUUUCACUUUGCAUAUUGAUGAUAAUUGUGGCGGUUAUCUAUUCUAGCGUUGGUGAAGUUGAUCAUGAUAUUAUUCCUCAAAAAGGUUAUUAUAUUGCAUCUUGGUCUGAUGAGUAUAUAAAGUGUGUCGAGAAAUGCGAGAGACUCUAUGGCGGUAGGGAUUUUCUCAUGGCCAUCCGAUGCAUUGGAAAAUGCAUGAAUUGAAGCAUGGCUAUUAGUACUUUAGUCUUUUGUAAUUUACAAAUUUCUAGAGAUCAAUAAAUUAUCGUCAAUAUAUAGAAUGUAGAUCCGGUGGCUGCCAGAGGCUAUAAUUCGUGUUCAAGCAAAGGCGAAUUUCUCAAGCUCUAAUAAUGGAGGAAUUUUUAGCUGUUAUUUAGUUUUAGAUUUCAAGUGGUAUUUCUGUCUUUUGCUUCUUUUCAGUUUUGUUGCUCUUAUGUCUCUUAGUUUAUUCGAGAAUUCUAGUUUUCAACCCAAACUACAAGAAAUUACUGAAUUAGCG